AUUGAACGCUGGCGGCAGGCCUAACACAUGCAAGUCGAGCGGAUGAAGGGAGCUUGCUCCUGGAUUCAGCGGCGGACGGGUGAGUAAUGCCUAGGAAUCUGCCUGGUAGUGGGGGAUAACGUCCGGAAACGGGCGCUAAUACCGCAUACGUCCUGAGGGAGAAAGUGGGGGAUCUUCGGACCUCACGCUAUCAGAUGAGCCUAGGUCGGAUUAGCUAGUUGGUGGGGUAAAGGCCUACCAAGGCGACGAUCCGUAACUGGUCUGAGAGGAUGAUCAGUCACACUGGAACUGAGACACGGUCCAGACUCCUACGGGAGGCAGCAGUGGGGAAUAUUGGACAAUGGGCGAAAGCCUGAUCCAGCCAUGCCGCGUGUGUGAAGAAGGUCUUCGGAUUGUAAAGCACUUUAAGUUGGGAGGAAGGGCAGUAAGUUAAUACCUUGCUGUUUUGACGUUACCAACAGAAUAAGCACCGGCUAACUUCGUGCCAGCAGCCGCGGUAAUACGAAGGGUGCAAGCGUUAAUCGGAAUUACUGGGCGUAAAGCGCGCGUAGGUGGUUCAGCAAGUUGGAUGUGAAAUCCCCGGGCUCAACCUGGGAACUGCAUCCAAAACUACUGAGCUAGAGUACGGUAGAGGGUGGUGGAAUUUCCUGUGUAGCGGUGAAAUGCGUAGAUAUAGGAAGGAACACCAGUGGCGAAGGCGACCACCUGGACUGAUACUGACACUGAG
RNAcentral lists this ribosomal RNA (727 nucleotides) under uncultured Pseudomonadota bacterium. RNAcentral's name for it is "bacterial SSU rRNA". It matches the Rfam family "Bacterial small subunit ribosomal RNA", at positions 28 to 750 of the family's 1533-position model. Lineage: Bacteria; Pseudomonadati; Pseudomonadota. The record is from RNAcentral.